CCCAGAGGUAUUGAUUGGUGAGAUUUCAGUACGUAUGAGUACUCACUUUUUGCACCAACCUGCGCGGAUGCGCAGGUUUUUUUU
This 84-nucleotide small RNA is filed under the name uncultured Pseudescherichia sp. Its description in RNAcentral is "OmrA-B family". It matches the Rfam family "OmrA-B family". Lineage: Bacteria; Pseudomonadati; Pseudomonadota; Gammaproteobacteria; Enterobacterales; Enterobacteriaceae. The record is from RNAcentral.